UACGAAGGGGGCUAGCGUUGUUCGGAAUUUCUGGGCGUAAAGCGCGCGCAGGCGGCUAUCCAAGUCAGUGGUGAAAGCCCGGAGCUCAACUCCGGAACUGCCAUUGAAACUGUUUAGCUUGAGGACGAGAGAGGUGAGUGGAAUUCCCAGUGUAGAGGUGAAAUUCGUAGAUAUUGGGAAGAACACCGGUGGCGAAGGCGGCUCACUGGCUCGUAUCUGACGCUCAGGCGCGACAGCGUGGGGAUCAAACAGG
This 253-nucleotide ribosomal RNA is filed under the name uncultured bacterium. RNAcentral's name for it is "partial 16S ribosomal RNA". It matches the Rfam family "Bacterial small subunit ribosomal RNA", at positions 524 to 776 of the family's 1533-position model. The record is from RNAcentral.